CCCAAAGAUAGCGACGACGGUCAGAUGAACGACGAUGCCUUGACCAUCCAUUUGAAGAACGAGCUCUUGGUUCCCUAACAAUUUCAAUGGUGUUAUCCAUCAUUUGGAACAAGAUGGUGGUAGUGGUUAACCAAGGUACAUUACCAUUGCCAUUGCUCCCCUCCCUACCACCACCUGGUGGUAACCUACCAAUACCAUCCCCGUUUUCGAGAACAUAAUCCCCAACUACCACAGCUCCUGGUAUGGCAGACUGAAUAGCACUCAC
Molecule: long non-coding RNA, 265 nt
Filed under: Medicago truncatula (barrel medic)
Lineage: Eukaryota; Viridiplantae; Streptophyta; Magnoliopsida; Fabales; Fabaceae
Description: long non-coding RNA (MTRU_LNC005142)
Source: RNAcentral